UAAGGAUUCAGACACACUACAUUUAAUUCAUAGGCAGUGUAGUAGACUGCACAGUGACUAGUGAACAGUGCUGCUAAAUAUUACUGUUCAGCAAUUCACAGCCAGAGCAUACCUGACUGUUAAGCAUUUAGCACAACUCCACACUAAAAAAUAUGGAAAGUUUCAGAAUGAAUCUUAAGGUGAAGACUGCAGUUUGAAAACUGGAGCCUAAACAAUCUUUUUGAAAUACCAAUAUUUCAUUUCCUUCUGUGUGUGCCCAAGUAUUUUGCUGAGCUCUGAAAUAGUAUUUUUCUGCCAGUUACGCCAAGCAAAAGUGUUACUAAAUCCAUUGGUAAGUAUGAUCUGUGGAUAUGAUUCAAAUACACAUUUGGCAGUUUUACUAUAUAAGGUUGUACAUGAAACUGAAGAACGUAACAUUAGAAUUGUGGGAUCAGGCUGGUAGUCUUACAUUAGGCAUAGAAAGACAUUUCCAAAAACAUUGUUUGUGGUUUUACCAGACAAAUAGGAGAAGCACAGAACAGCUUUAUGUACAGCAUCCCCUGCAGAAACCAUCACUGCCAAAAUGCUGAAGAACAAAAAGCUGAAAUUUGACUCAAUUAAUUAUUUUCUUUAAUACCUAUGCACUUUUGAUAUUAAUCAAUGCAGCAUCAGCAGUGGUUUGUCUUUGUCCCACAAGUGUUAACGAUUUCCUGUAUGCUGGGGAUAACACCAGCUGUCACAUUAUACAAACUGGCACAAAAUGGAUCUUCCAUGUUUCUACAGUACACAGAUACAUCAUGGCUGAUAUGUUGUAUAGUCUUUGGUACUGUACAUUAUUGCUGGUGUUCUAAUUCUUAUAUUCUUAAACUGAUUAAAGCGCUGUUGUGAGGAGGCUAUGGACUGAUAGGGUGGACAUUUUUGAGUUGCAUUUGCCCGAAUUUGACUUACUUUCUCAAGUUGGAUUUCUGGUACUGCUCAGAAGUGAAGAGAUGUUCUAGAAAACUCUUCAGCAUGCUCCAACUGAUUUGUUAAAUCAAAAGAUAAGGUGAGAAGGAACGUGUUUUUAAAGAAGUACGGUUUUUGGGGAAAAAAAUGAAAAUAACUAAUUGAAAGAAUAAAAAUGUAAGGUGCUGUUUGUUUUUACUGGUGACAAUAAACUUUGACUCACUUUUUUAAA
Long non-coding RNA from Amphiprion ocellaris (clown anemonefish), 1156 nucleotides. The record is from Ensembl. NCBI's taxonomy places the organism in Eukaryota, Metazoa, Chordata, Actinopteri, Pomacentridae.